UUGUGAAUGUGUGCACCUUCAGAAUGGGACUAAUUCGAGUCCUUUGUUCCGUAGCUGAGGCUCACUGCCCCGAGGUGGGCAGUGAGCUCGUGGCCC
Molecule: non-coding RNA, 96 nt
Organism: Pteropus vampyrus (large flying fox)
Lineage: Eukaryota; Metazoa; Chordata; Mammalia; Chiroptera; Pteropodidae
Source: Rfam